GCCAUCAGUCUCCACAGCUGUAGUCCCAGCUACUCGGGAGGCUGAGGCAGGAGGAUCUCUUGAGUCCAGGAGUUCUGAGCUGUAGUGUGCUAUACUGAUUGGGUGUCCACACUAAAUUUGGCAUCAAUAUGGUGACCUCCCGGGAGUGGGGGACCUCCAGGUUGCCUAAGGAGGGGUGAACCAGCCCAGGUCGGAAUCGGAGCAGGUCAAAACUCCCAUGCUGAUCAGUAGUGCAUUCAUUUUUUAUUGGAUUCUAGGAAUUCUUAAAUUUCUUUUUUCUU
Non-coding RNA from Mesocricetus auratus (golden hamster), 281 nucleotides. The record is from Rfam. NCBI's taxonomy places the organism in Eukaryota, Metazoa, Chordata, Mammalia, Rodentia, Cricetidae.